AGAGUUUGAUCCUGGCUCAGGAUGAACGCUGGCGGCGUGCCUAACACAUGCAAGUCGAGCGAUGAAAUUUGAAGGAUUUCUUCGGAAUGAAAACAAAUGGAUUAGCGGCGGACGGGUGAGUAACGCGUGGGCAACCUGCCCUGUACUGGAGGAUAGCAUCGGGAAACUGGUGGUAAUACUCCAUAAGCUUACGGUAAGACAUCUUAAAGUAAGAAAAGAUUUAUCGGUACAGGAGGGGCCCGCGUCUGAUUAGAUAGUUGGUGGGGUAACGGCCUACCAAGUCAACGAUCAGUAGCCGACCUGAGAGGGUGAUCGGCCACAUUGGAACUGAGACACGGUCCAGACUCCUACGGGAGGCAGCAGUGGGGAAUAUUGCACAAUGGAGGGAACUCUGAUGCAGCAACGCCGCGUGAAGGAAGAAGUAUUUCGGUAUGUAAACUUCUAUCAGCAGGGAAGAAAAGAAUGACGGUACCUGACUAAGAAGAACCGGCUAAAUACGUGCCAGCAGCCGCGGUAAUACGUAUGGUUCAAGCGUUAUCCGGAUUUACUGGGUGUAAAGGGUGAGUAGGCGGUUAUAUAAGUCAUAUGUGAAAUGUCGGGGCUCAACCCCGGCCUGCAUAAGAAACUGUAUAACUAGAGUGCAGGAGAGGCAAGCGGAAUUCCUAGUGUAGCGGUGAAAUGCGUAGAUAUUAGGAAGAACACCGGUGGCGAAGGCGGCUUGCUGGACUGUAACUGACGCUGAGUCACGAAAGCGUGGGGAGCAAACAGGAUUAGAUACCCUGGUAGUCCACGCUGUAAACGAUGAAUGCUAAGUG
This 815-nucleotide ribosomal RNA is filed under the name uncultured bacterium. RNAcentral's name for it is "bacterial SSU rRNA". It matches the Rfam family "Bacterial small subunit ribosomal RNA", at positions 8 to 822 of the family's 1533-position model. The record is from RNAcentral.